UGGCUGCGAAAAGAGUUUUAAUUUUUAUGAGGCCGCCAGAUAUUACGGCCUCAGGCGACAGGCACAUGACGGAGAGAGAUUAUGUUUGAA
Molecule: non-coding RNA, 90 nt
Organism: Salmonella enterica subsp. enterica serovar Enteritidis
Lineage: Bacteria; Pseudomonadati; Pseudomonadota; Gammaproteobacteria; Enterobacterales; Enterobacteriaceae
Source: Rfam